RNAcentral lists this transfer RNA (76 nucleotides) under Roseibium album. RNAcentral describes it as "tRNA-Lys". It matches the Rfam family "tRNA". Rfam says of the family: Transfer RNA (tRNA) molecules are approximately 80 nucleotides in length. Their secondary structure includes four short double-helical elements and three loops (D, anti-codon, and T loops). Further hydrogen bonds mediate the characteristic L-shaped molecular structure. tRNAs have two regions of fundamental functional importance: the anti-codon, which is responsible for specific mRNA codon recognition, and the 3' end, to which the tRNAs corresponding amino acid is attached (by aminoacyl-tRNA synthetases). tRNAs cope with the degeneracy of the genetic code in two manners: having more than one tRNA (with a specific anti-codon) for a particular amino acid; and 'wobble' base-pairing, i.e. permitting non-standard base-pairing at the 3rd anti-codon position. Lineage: Bacteria; Pseudomonadati; Pseudomonadota; Alphaproteobacteria; Hyphomicrobiales; Stappiaceae. RNAcentral also lists the same sequence under 9 other names. The record is from RNAcentral.
GGGUGUGUAGCUCAGUUGGCAGAGCAGCUGACUCUUAAUCAGCGGGUCUGGGGUUCGAGCCCCCACUCACCCACCA